Molecule: ribosomal RNA, 444 nt
Filed under: uncultured bacterium
Lineage: Bacteria
Description: partial 16S ribosomal RNA
Rfam family: Bacterial small subunit ribosomal RNA
Source: RNAcentral
CUACGGGAUGCAGCAGUGGGGAAUAUUGCACAAUGGGCGCAAGCCUGAUGCAGCAACGCCGCGUGAGGGAUGAAGGCCUUCGGGUUGUAAACCUCUUUUAGCAGGGAAGAAGCGAAAGUGACGGUACCUGCAGAAAAAGCACCGGCUAACUACGUGCCAGCAGCCGCGGUAAUACGUAGGGUGCAAGCGUUGUCCGGAAUUAUUGGGCGUAAAGAGCUCGUAGGCGGUUUGUCACGUCUGCUGUGAAGAUCCAAGGCUCAACCUUGGACUUGCAGUGGGUACGGGCAGGCUAGAGUGCGGUAGGGGAGAUGGGAAUUCCUGGUGUAGCGGUGGAAUGCGCAGAUAUCAGGAGGAACACCAAUGGCGAAGGCACAUCUCUGGGCCGUAACUGACGCUGAGGAGCGAAAGCGUGGGGAGCGAACAGGAUUAGAUACCCGAGUAGUC